UAUUUUUAAUUGACAUAGACCAAGUCCUCUA
Molecule: transfer RNA, 31 nt
Filed under: Cyphostemma bainesii
Lineage: Eukaryota; Viridiplantae; Streptophyta; Magnoliopsida; Vitales; Vitaceae
Description: partial tRNA-Phe
Source: RNAcentral